Molecule: ribosomal RNA, 1551 nt
Filed under: Escherichia coli ATCC 25922
Lineage: Bacteria; Pseudomonadati; Pseudomonadota; Gammaproteobacteria; Enterobacterales; Enterobacteriaceae
Description: bacterial SSU rRNA
Rfam family: Bacterial small subunit ribosomal RNA
Source: RNAcentral
AAAUUGAAGAGUUUGAUCAUGGCUCAGAUUGAACGCUGGCGGCAGGCCUAACACAUGCAAGUCGAACGGUAACAGGAAGCAGCUUGCUUUGCUGACGAGUGGCGGACGGGUGAGUAAUGUCUGGGAAACUGCCUGAUGGAGGGGGAUAACUACUGGAAACGGUAGCUAAUACCGCAUAACGUCGCAAGACCAAAGAGGGGGACCUUCGGGCCUCUUGCCAUCGGAUGUGCCCAGAUGGGAUUAGCUAGUAGGUGGGGUAAAGGCUCACCUAGGCGACGAUCCCUAGCUGGUCUGAGAGGAUGACCAGCCACACUGGAACUGAGACACGGUCCAGACUCCUACGGGAGGCAGCAGUGGGGAAUAUUGCACAAUGGGCGCAAGCCUGAUGCAGCCAUGCCGCGUGUAUGAAGAAGGCCUUCGGGUUGUAAAGUACUUUCAGCGGGGAGGAAGGGAGUAAAGUUAAUACCUUUGCUCAUUGACGUUACCCGCAGAAGAAGCACCGGCUAACUCCGUGCCAGCAGCCGCGGUAAUACGGAGGGUGCAAGCGUUAAUCGGAAUUACUGGGCGUAAAGCGCACGCAGGCGGUUUGUUAAGUCAGAUGUGAAAUCCCCGGGCUCAACCUGGGAACUGCAUCUGAUACUGGCAAGCUUGAGUCUCGUAGAGGGGGGUAGAAUUCCAGGUGUAGCGGUGAAAUGCGUAGAGAUCUGGAGGAAUACCGGUGGCGAAGGCGGCCCCCUGGACGAAGACUGACGCUCAGGUGCGAAAGCGUGGGGAGCAAACAGGAUUAGAUACCCUGGUAGUCCACGCCGUAAACGAUGUCGACUUGGAGGUUGUGCCCUUGAGGCGUGGCUUCCGGAGCUAACGCGUUAAGUCGACCGCCUGGGGAGUACGGCCGCAAGGUUAAAACUCAAAUGAAUUGACGGGGGCCCGCACAAGCGGUGGAGCAUGUGGUUUAAUUCGAUGCAACGCGAAGAACCUUACCUGGUCUUGACAUCCACGGAAGUUUUCAGAGAUGAGAAUGUGCCUUCGGGAACCGUGAGACAGGUGCUGCAUGGCUGUCGUCAGCUCGUGUUGUGAAAUGUUGGGUUAAGUCCCGCAACGAGCGCAACCCUUAUCCUUUGUUGCCAGCGGUCCGGCCGGGAACUCAAAGGAGACUGCCAGUGAUAAACUGGAGGAAGGUGGGGAUGACGUCAAGUCAUCAUGGCCCUUACGACCAGGGCUACACACGUGCUACAAUGGCGCAUACAAAGAGAAGCGACCUCGCGAGAGCAAGCGGACCUCAUAAAGUGCGUCGUAGUCCGGAUUGGAGUCUGCAACUCGACUCCAUGAAGUCGGAAUCGCUAGUAAUCGUGGAUCAGAAUGCCACGGUGAAUACGUUCCCGGGCCUUGUACACACCGCCCGUCACACCAUGGGAGUGGGUUGCAAAAGAAGUAGGUAGCUUAACCUUCGGGAGGGCGCUUACCACUUUGUGAUUCAUGACUGGGGUGAAGUCGUAACAAGGUAACCGUAGGGGAACCUGCGGUUGGAUCACCUCCUUACCUUAAAGAAGC